RNAcentral lists this ribosomal RNA (253 nucleotides) under uncultured bacterium. RNAcentral describes it as "partial 16S ribosomal RNA". It matches the Rfam family "Bacterial small subunit ribosomal RNA", at positions 524 to 776 of the family's 1533-position model. The record is from RNAcentral.
UACGUAGGGGGCAAGCGUUGUCCGGAUUUACUGGGCGUAAAGCGCGCGUAGGCGGAAGCUCAAGUCUGGCCUGAAAGCCCCCGGCUCAACCGGGGAGUGGGGCUGGAAACUGGGUUUCUUGAGGGCGAUAGAGGAGUGUGGAAUUCCUGGUGUAGCGGUGAAAUGCGUAGAGAUCAGGAGGAACACCCGUGGCGAAGGCGGCACUCUGGGUCGGCCCUGACGCUGAGACGCGAAAGCGUGGGGAGCAAACAGG